ACGUAAUCAACGUGUGUUGACUGGCUUCGAGCUGUGUUGCGUCUGGAAUGAAACCCCCCAAAAAUUUUUUCCUGGUUACUUUUUAACUGGUAAAAAUUAAAGACAACGUUACGUUUUCUGUGAUGUGGGUGGAACACUGUCUUUAGCCAAUGGAGACCAGAAAAACUGUAUUGUGAUAAUGCCAAGUCUUGAAUAGACUUAAGGACCACUGGUGCCAUAUUUUGACUAUACCUUUCCGCCUCACAUUGGACUGGUCUUGAAGGAAAUCUUUCAUCCCUCCUGAUGUAAAUUCAACUCUUAGAACUGCUCCAAACUUGUAGAAGGGUUUCACGUAGUUUAGUCUAGGAAGCUUCUUGAGUUCUUCUGAACACGGAUAAAGAAGGAAUAUAUGAAUAAGGAUGGAAUAUAUGUAAAGUGAGUUUGGAGGAUCUGAAAACUGCGUGAUUGGAAAUCCUGAACAAGAAAUCUAGCUUGGUUUUAUGAUGACAGUGACAAGAAGCCCAAGAGAAAAUGCGUUGAGAGAAGAGUUUAUGAGUUCAGAUCACUGAGAGAGACGUCGUAUGGAUGGUUGAAGAUUGACUGUCUAAGUACAAGCGAGUAUUUUAUAGUAAAAGGGGAAAGCUUUGUAAAGAAAAAGAAGUAAAUGUGAUUUAUCGAGUUU
Molecule: long non-coding RNA, 661 nt
Organism: Limulus polyphemus (Atlantic horseshoe crab)
Lineage: Eukaryota; Metazoa; Arthropoda; Merostomata; Xiphosura; Limulidae
Exons: 4
Source: RefSeq, a predicted model, not a curated record